GAACAUUUGCCUUCAUUAAAACAUUUGUAUGACCCAAGUUCGUCACAAUUUCUAUCAAUCAUACACACAUGACAGUCAGAAAAGCACGGAUCUGGAGAGGUAGACGAUCUGUGAAGGAUGUUAUUUUAGAAGUUUUGGUUCAUAAGUUAAGAACAUUUAUCAAGAAUGUAUUUAUUAAAGUGGUUUCUGUACUUACAAAACUGUAGCUUAAUACAUGUAAAAUAGUUACUCUCCCCCUCCUGGUCCAGUAAGUGCUGCAGUAAUGUAACCGUUACGGCUACCAUUGGGUUGUACUGACUAAUUGCUAUACUAUUAAGCCUAUGUCUAGCUGUAGUUGGCAUUGCCAUGGUAUACCUUUAGCAGAUCUUAUACUCACAGUAAUGUAGAUGUUAGAAGGGUUUUCCACUAUUUAGAUAAUGAUGGCCCACCCCCGCGAUAGGUAAUCAAUAUCAGAUCAGUUGUGUUUGACGCUCCACACUCCCACCAAUUAGCUUUUCAGACAGCCGCC
Long non-coding RNA from Bufo bufo (common toad), 508 nucleotides. RefSeq lists it as uncharacterized. The record is from RefSeq and is a predicted model, not a curated record. Lineage: Eukaryota; Metazoa; Chordata; Amphibia; Anura; Bufonidae. The transcript is spliced from 3 exons.